UUGAAAGGGAAACGAUUGAAGUCAGUCGUACUGACGGGAAAUCAACUUCUCGAGUGCUUGUCGUGAAUGACGUUGAGCUUCACGGCCUUCGUUGCUUGCUUUAUGGUGCUUUUGAGGUGUACUUUUCCGUAUGGUAAGUCAACAUCGAUUUUGAUCGUCAUAAAAUGAUCGGAGGAAUGUGGCUCUGAUCUUGUAUCGGAGUGUUAUAGCCUUUGGUAGAUGUGACGAUUGGGAUCGAGGAUUGCAACGAAUACCCUUCUGGGCUAUCCGUCUGACCUCUGAAAGUCGCUCGGGUGUCGAAAGCGUGCUUAUGACAUUUUAGUUGGCGGUCAAAAGGUUAGAACGUGAUUACAUUCGUUAAGGAUGUUGACGUA
RNAcentral lists this ribosomal RNA (374 nucleotides) under uncultured Glomeromycotina. Its description in RNAcentral is "LSU rRNA". Lineage: Eukaryota; Fungi; Glomeromycota. The record is from RNAcentral.